GGGCGCGUAGCUCAGUGGUAGAGCAUCUGCCUUUUAAGCAGGGGGUCGAUGGUUCGAGCCCAUCCGCGCUCA
Molecule: transfer RNA, 72 nt
Filed under: Ignavibacteriales bacterium
Lineage: Bacteria; Pseudomonadati; Ignavibacteriota; Ignavibacteria; Ignavibacteriales
Description: tRNA-Lys
Rfam family: tRNA
About the family: Transfer RNA (tRNA) molecules are approximately 80 nucleotides in length. Their secondary structure includes four short double-helical elements and three loops (D, anti-codon, and T loops).
Source: RNAcentral